AUGUUGGUGCAUAAUGAACACCACGUAUGGAUUGAAAUCCCAUUUACAGGAUGUUCAGUUACGGAACCUGUAAUCAGGAGAGGCUUGUCAUUCAUGCCUUGACACCUCUCAUUCAUCUGAGUCUGGCCUGCUGGAUAUGCAAAUGAUAGGAGGACUGAAAAUCAUAAUCCUUCAGCCGUGAUGGCGUCAACGUCACUAUUCUUGGAACAAGCCAUUUUUACCAGAGAUGUCUCCAAGAGCACCAGCAACCCCAGCUAUCUGGAUCUGAAGUGGAUAUGCUCAGAGACAUCCUGGCCCACCCCAAAGAAGAUGCUGCUGCACUCAGAAGACGCCAGAGCUAGCCACCACCCACACUGCAAGUCUGGAAGCUCUGCAAGGACCCAGCAAGGCAGCCUGCUCAGCGAAGGCUUUGUCUCCUGUGGCAGGAAGAGCAACAUUAAGAACAAGAACCCCGGGCUGGACUACCCCUGAGAUUUAAUGACCAGAGCUGAGACCCCCAAGACCACAAUGACUAUGGAGGGCUGUCAUUACCCUGCCUGACCCUCUAAUGCCUCUCAGUUCAAGGAGGCCACUGAGUGAAACUGAAGGCUGGUUUUCCUUGGAAGCCAGCGGCCCAUCCACCUGCUCCACUUCCCUGCCUCUUGCAGCCUCCGCUCAAACACUGUCGUGGCUUGGCAGCACUACAAGGCAGAGUGAAAACAGAUACUUCUACCCACAUUCCUAUCUCCUCUCAUUUACGCAGAUUAAAUGCUUUCUUUCCUUGUUUUACACUGCUAGGAUUUUCAUCACCCUGUUUUUUCUUUCUCUACAUCAGCUACAAGAAAAAAAAAAGGAGUUACUGAGCAACUAAGAA
Molecule: long non-coding RNA, 853 nt
Filed under: Homo sapiens (human)
Lineage: Eukaryota; Metazoa; Chordata; Mammalia; Primates; Hominidae
Description: long intergenic non-protein coding RNA 2981
Source: RNAcentral